Molecule: ribosomal RNA, 351 nt
Filed under: Triticum aestivum (bread wheat)
Lineage: Eukaryota; Viridiplantae; Streptophyta; Magnoliopsida; Poales; Poaceae
Description: partial small subunit ribosomal RNA
Source: RNAcentral
AUGCAGAAAAUACUGUUGUUUGGAUCUAUUGCACAACGCAAAAAAGGUAAAAUCAGUGUAAGCUUUUUAAAGGUCCCAUUUUUUCCUAAAAAAAGUUUGACUGUUGUUUCACAUGACAAAUCUACCCUCAAAUGCAUCAACAUUCCUACGUGGAACAAAUGCAUUGGCAUAUCAUGUGCAUGGGAAGACGUGUGGUACUAUGGCAGUUUGUUUUAUUUGUUUCUUUCUAUGUUGGUACAGGUAACUUCAGCACAUAUAUCACAAUGGAUGGCAAGUAUAUGUAUAAAUUUAGAUUUUGUCCAAUCUGUUGUACAUUGCAUUGCUAUUUCUCCAGUCGGUGUAAUUUUCUAA